UACGUAGGGUGCAAGCGUUGUCCGGAAUUAUUGGGCGUAAAGAGCUCGUAGGCGGUUUGUCGCGUCUGCUGUGAAAACUCGGGGCUUAACCCCGGGCCUGCAGUGGGUACGGGCAGACUAGAGUCCGGAAGAGGAGAGUGGAAUUCCCGGUGUAGCGGUGAAAUGCGCAGAUAUCGGGAAGAACACCCGUGGCGAAGGCGGCUCUCUGGGACGGUACUGACGCUGAGACGCGAAAGCGUGGGGAGCGAACAGG
Molecule: ribosomal RNA, 253 nt
Filed under: uncultured bacterium
Lineage: Bacteria
Description: partial 16S ribosomal RNA
Rfam family: Bacterial small subunit ribosomal RNA
Source: RNAcentral